RNAcentral lists this ribosomal RNA (253 nucleotides) under uncultured bacterium. Its description in RNAcentral is "partial 16S ribosomal RNA". It matches the Rfam family "Bacterial small subunit ribosomal RNA", at positions 524 to 776 of the family's 1533-position model. The record is from RNAcentral.
UACGGGGGGGGCAAGCGUUGUUCGGAAUUACUGGGCGUAAAGGGCUCGUAGGCGGCCAACUAAGUCGGACGUGAAAUCCCCAGGCUCAACCUGGGAACUGCGUCCGAUACUGGAUGGCUUGAAUCCGGGAGAGGGAUGCAGAAUUCCAGGUGUAGCGGUGAAAUGCGUAGAUAUCGGGAGGAACACCGGUGGCGAAGGCGGUUCUCUGGGCCUGUACUGACGCUGAGGAGCGAAAGCGUGGGGAGCGAACAGG